RNAcentral lists this ribosomal RNA (510 nucleotides) under Hampa patona. RNAcentral's name for it is "partial 16S ribosomal RNA". The record is from RNAcentral. Lineage: Eukaryota; Metazoa; Arthropoda; Insecta; Trichoptera; Conoesucidae.
AACAUGUCUUAAAGAAUUAUAAUUUAAGUCUAAUCUGCCCACUGAAUUAUUUAAAGGGCCGCAGUAUAAAUGUGCAAAGGUAGCAUAAUAAUUAGUUUUUUUAUUGGAAACUAGAAUGAAUGAUUGGACGAAAUAUUAACUAUUUAAAUUUAAAAAUAAAAUUUAUUUUUUUAAUGAAAAAAUUAAAAUUUAUUAAAAAGACAAGAAGACCCUAUAGAUCUUAAUAUAUUUUAUUUAUAAAAUUAUAAAUAAAUUUAUUUAAUUGGGGUGAUUAAAAAAUUUAAUUAACUUUUUGAAAUUUAAACUAUAAUUAUAGAUAAAAAAUUAAUCAAUUUAAAUAUUAUUUAAUAAUUAAUUAUUAAUAAAGAAAAAGAUACCUUAGGGAUAACAGCGUAAUUUUAAUUUUAAGUUCUUAUUAAAAUUAGAGAUUGCGACCUCGAUGUUGGAUUAAAAUAAAUAUUAAAUGUAGGUGUUUAAUAAUUAAGUCUGUUCGACUUUUAAAUUUUUACG